Molecule: ribosomal RNA, 98 nt
Filed under: uncultured bacterium
Lineage: Bacteria
Description: partial 16S ribosomal RNA
Rfam family: Bacterial small subunit ribosomal RNA
Source: RNAcentral
CACACCGCCCGUCACACCAUGGGAGUUGAUUGCACCAGAAGUAGGUAGCCUAACCGCAAGGGAGGGCGCUUACCACGGUGUGGUCAAUGACUGGGGUG